RNAcentral lists this ribosomal RNA (497 nucleotides) under uncultured bacterium. RNAcentral describes it as "partial 16S ribosomal RNA". It matches the Rfam family "Bacterial small subunit ribosomal RNA", at positions 28 to 507 of the family's 1533-position model. The record is from RNAcentral.
GAUGAACGCUGGCGGCGUGCCUAAUACAUGCAAGUCGAGCGAACAGAUAAGGAGCUUGCUCCCUUGACGUUAGCGGCGGACGGGUGAGUAACACGUGGGUAACCUACCUAUAAGACUGGAAUAACUCCGGGAAACCGGGGCUAAUGCCGGAUAACAUUUAGAACCGCAUGGUUCUAAAGUGAAAGAUGGUUUUGCUAUCACUUAUAGAUGGACCCGCGCCGUAUUAGCUAGUUGGUAAGGUAACGGCUUACCAAGGCAACGAUACGUAGCCGACCUGAGAGGGUGAUCGGCCACACUGGAACUGAGACACGGUCCAGACUCCUACGGGAGGCAGCAGUAGGGAAUCUUCCGCAAUGGGCGAAAGCCUGACGGAGCAACGCCGCGUGAGUGAUGAGGGUCUUCGGAUCGUAAAACUCUGUUAUUAGGGAAGAACAAAUGUGUAAGUAACUGUGCACGUCUUGACGGUACCUAAUCAGAAAGCCACGGCUAACUACGUG